GACGAACGCUGGCGGCGUGCUUAACACAUGCCAGUCGAACGGAAAGGCCCCCUUGUGGGGUACUCGAGUGGCGAACGGGUGAGUAACACGUGAGUAACCUACCCUUGACUUUGGGAUAACUUCAGGAAACUGGGGCUAAUACCGGAUAGGAGCUCCUGCUGCAUGGUGGGGGUUGGAAAGUUUCGGCGGUUGGGGAUGGACUCGCGGCUUAUCAGCUUGUUGGUGGGGUAGUGGCUCACCAAGGCUUUGACGGGUAGCCGGCCUGAGAGGGUGAACGGCCACAUUGGGACUGAGAUACGGCCCAGACUCCUACGGGAGGCAGCAGUGGGGAAUAUUGCACAAUGGGCGGAAGCCUGACGCAGCAACGCAGCGUGCGGGAUGACGGACUUCGGGUUGUAAACCGCUUUCGCCUGUGACGAAGCGUGAGUGACGGUAAUGGGUAAAGAAGCACCGGCUAACUACGUG
Molecule: ribosomal RNA, 465 nt
Filed under: uncultured bacterium
Lineage: Bacteria
Description: partial 16S ribosomal RNA
Rfam family: Bacterial small subunit ribosomal RNA
Source: RNAcentral